UGCAAGUCGUGCGGUAAGGCCCCUUCGGGGGUACACGAGCGGCGAAAGGGAGAGUAACGCGUGGACUACCUACCCUCGGGUCCGGGAUAGCUGCGGGAAACUGCAGGUAAUACCGGAUAACGUUUCCGAACCAAAGGUGUGAUUCCGCCUGAGGACGGGUCCGCGUCCUAUUAGCUUGUUGGUGAGGUAACGGCUCACCAAGGCUGCGAUGGGUACCGGGUGUGAGAGCAUGACCCGGCUCACUGGGACUGAGACACUGCCCAGACACCUACGGGUGGCUGCAGUCGAGAAUCUUCGGCAAUGGGCGCAAGCCUGACCGAGCGACGCCGCGUGUGGGAUGAAGGCCUUCGGGUUGUAAACCGCUGUCAGUUGGGAGGAAAUGCAUAGGGGUACUCUCCUAUGUUUGACCUAUCUUCAGAGGAAGGACGGGCUAAGUUCGUGCCAGCAGCCGCGGUAAGACGAACCGUCCAAACGUUAUUCGGAAUCACUGGGCUUAAAGGGUGCGUAGGCGGUGCGGGAAGUUGGGUGUGAAAUCCCUCGGCUCAACCGAGGAACUGCGCCCAAAACUCCCGUGCUAGAGGGAGACAGAGGUGAGCGGAACUUAGGGUGGAGCGGUGAAAUGCGUUGAUAUCCUAAGGAACACCUGUGGCGAAAGCGGCUCACUGGGUCUUUUCUGACGCUGAGGCACGAAAGCUAGGGGAGCGAACGGGAUUAGAUACC
RNAcentral lists this ribosomal RNA (720 nucleotides) under uncultured Planctomycetota bacterium. RNAcentral's name for it is "bacterial SSU rRNA". It matches the Rfam family "Bacterial small subunit ribosomal RNA", at positions 56 to 786 of the family's 1533-position model. Lineage: Bacteria; Pseudomonadati; Planctomycetota. The record is from RNAcentral.